This 148-nucleotide signal recognition particle RNA is filed under the name Homo sapiens (human). RNAcentral's name for it is "Metazoan signal recognition particle RNA". It matches the Rfam family "Metazoan signal recognition particle RNA". From Rfam's summary of the family: The signal recognition particle (SRP) is a universally conserved ribonucleoprotein. It is involved in the co-translational targeting of proteins to membranes. The eukaryotic SRP consists of a 300-nucleotide 7S RNA and six proteins: SRPs 72, 68, 54, 19, 14, and 9. The record is from Rfam by way of RNAcentral. Lineage: Eukaryota; Metazoa; Chordata; Mammalia; Primates; Hominidae.
GCUGGGCGUGGUGGUGCACGCCCGUAAUUCCAGCUACUUGGGAGGCUGAGGCAGGAGACUCUCUUGAACCCAGGAGGCAGAAGUUGCAGUGAGCCAGGAUUGCACCACUGCACUCCAGCCUGGGUGACAGAGAGAGAUUCUGUCUCAA